UACGAAGGGGGCUAGCGUUGUUCGGAAUCACUGGGCGUAAAGGGCGCGUAGGCGGCUUUAUAAGUCGGGGGUGAAAGCCUGUGGCUCAACCACAGAAUUGCCUUCGAUACUGUAUGGCUUGAGACCGGAAGAGGUAAGUGGAACUGCGAGUGUAGAGGUGAAAUUCGUAGAUAUUCGCAAGAACACCAGUGGCGAAGGCGGCUUACUGGUCCGGUUCUGGACGCUGAGGCGCGAAAGCGUGGGGAGCAAACAGG
This 254-nucleotide ribosomal RNA is filed under the name uncultured bacterium. Its description in RNAcentral is "partial 16S ribosomal RNA". It matches the Rfam family "Bacterial small subunit ribosomal RNA", at positions 524 to 776 of the family's 1533-position model. The record is from RNAcentral.